RNAcentral lists this ribosomal RNA (473 nucleotides) under uncultured bacterium. RNAcentral describes it as "bacterial SSU rRNA". It matches the Rfam family "Bacterial small subunit ribosomal RNA", at positions 355 to 825 of the family's 1533-position model. The record is from RNAcentral.
UAGGGAAUUUUGGGCAAUGGGCGAAAGCCUGACCCAGCAACGCCGCGUGUGGGAUGAAGGCCCUCGGGUCGUAAACCACUGUCAGGAGGAAAGAAAAGUCGGCCGGAUAAUACUCGGUCGACCUGACGGUACCUCCAAAGGAAGCACCGGCUAACUCCGUGCCAGCAGCCGCGGUAAGACAGAGGCCACGAACGUUGUUCGGAAUCACUGGGCAUAAAGCGCACGUAGGCGGCUAGGUCCGUCCGAUGUGAAAGCCCCCGGCUCAACCGGGGAAUUGCAUCGGAUACAGCCUGGCUUGAGGACGGUUGGGGUGAGUGGAACUCCUGGUGGAGCGGUGAAAUGCGUAGAUAUCAGGAGGAACACCGGUGGCGAAGGCGACAUCCUGGACCAAUUCUGACGCUGAGGAGCGAAAGCCAGGGGAGCAAACGGGAUUAGAUACCCCGGUAGUCCCUGAGCGGGCUGGCAAGGCGCAU